RNAcentral lists this ribosomal RNA (466 nucleotides) under uncultured bacterium. RNAcentral describes it as "bacterial SSU rRNA". It matches the Rfam family "Bacterial small subunit ribosomal RNA", at positions 260 to 717 of the family's 1533-position model. The record is from RNAcentral.
UGGGCCUACCAAGGCGAAGACGCUUAGCUGGUCUGAGAGGAUGAUCAGCCACACUGGGGACUGAGACACGGCCCAGACUCCUACGGGAGGCAGCAGUGGGGGAAUAUUGGACAAUGGGCGCAAGCCUGAUCCAGCCACGCCGCGUGAGUGAUGAAGGCCUUCGGGGUCGUAAAGCUCUGUGGGGAGGGUACGAACGGCGCCAUGAAGAGUGGUCGAUUGACGGUACCUCCUUAGCAAGCACCGGCUAACUUCGUGCCAGCAGCCGCGGUAAUACGAAGGGUGCAAACGUUGCUCGGAAUCAUUGGGCGUAAAGCGCACGUAGGCGGCUUCUAAGUCGGAUGUGAAAUCCCUCGGCUUAACCGAGGACGUGCAUCCGGAAACUGGGAGGCUUGAGUAUGGAAAGAGGGUCGCAGAAUUCCCGGUGUAGAGGUGAAAUUCGUAGAUAUCGGGAGGAAUACCAGUGGCG